UCGAGUUAGGGUCUCCCAUAGGCCCGACCUCUAACCCUUUGUCUACCUAACCUCACGUUGCUUCGGCGGACCCCGCCCCUUGGAGAACAAGGGGCGACCGCCGGUGGCCAAACUCUAAAACUCUUGUUGAACCGUGGCGUCUGAGUGGGAAAGAAUCAAUAACCAA
Molecule: unclassified non-coding RNA, 166 nt
Filed under: uncultured Ascomycota
Lineage: Eukaryota; Fungi; Ascomycota
Description: sequence contains ITS1
Source: RNAcentral